UACGUAGGGGGCAAGCGUUGUCCGGAAUCAUUGGGCGUAAAGAGCGCGUAGGCGGCCCGAUAAGUCCGCUGUGAAAGUCAAGGGCUUAACCCUUGAAUGCCGGUGGAAACUGUCGGGCUAGAGUCCGGAAGAGGCGAGUGGAAUUCCCAGUGUAGCGGUGAAAUGCGUAGAUAUUGGGAGGAACACCAGUGGCGAAGGCGGCUCACUGGACCGGAACUGACGCUGAGGCGCGAAAGCGUGGGGAGCAAACGGG
Molecule: ribosomal RNA, 253 nt
Filed under: uncultured bacterium
Lineage: Bacteria
Description: partial 16S ribosomal RNA
Rfam family: Bacterial small subunit ribosomal RNA
Source: RNAcentral